GGUUGGUCCGAGUGCAGUGGUGUUUACAACUAAUUGAUAACAACCAGUUACAGAUUCCUUUGUUCCUUCUCCACUCCCACUGCUUCACUUGACCAACCUUUA
This 102-nucleotide Y RNA is filed under the name Microcebus murinus (gray mouse lemur). Its description in RNAcentral is "Y RNA (ENSMICG00000046348.1)". It matches the Rfam family "Y RNA". From Rfam's summary of the family: Y RNAs are components of the Ro ribonucleoprotein particle (Ro RNP), in association with Ro60 and La proteins. Lineage: Eukaryota; Metazoa; Chordata; Mammalia; Primates; Cheirogaleidae. The record is from Rfam by way of RNAcentral.